RNAcentral lists this transfer RNA (76 nucleotides) under Metschnikowia amazonensis. RNAcentral describes it as "tRNA-Thr". It matches the Rfam family "tRNA". Rfam says of the family: Transfer RNA (tRNA) molecules are approximately 80 nucleotides in length. Their secondary structure includes four short double-helical elements and three loops (D, anti-codon, and T loops). The record is from RNAcentral. Lineage: Eukaryota; Fungi; Ascomycota; Pichiomycetes; Serinales; Metschnikowiaceae.
AUGACUAUGGCGAAAAUGGUAAACGCGAUUAGUUUAGGUCUAAUUUUUUUAAGGGUUCAACUCCCUUUAGUCAUAU